UAUAUACUCCUCCAUCCCAAAAUUCUUGUUUUAAAUUUGUCUAAAUACGGAUGUAUCAAGUCAUGUUUUAGUAUUAGAUGCAUCCGUAUCUAGACAAAUUUAAGACAAGAAUUUUGAAACGGAGGGAGUACGUA
This is a non-coding RNA of Triticum aestivum (bread wheat), 134 nucleotides long. Lineage: Eukaryota; Viridiplantae; Streptophyta; Magnoliopsida; Poales; Poaceae. The record is from Rfam.